Molecule: long non-coding RNA, 1128 nt
Filed under: Equus caballus (horse)
Lineage: Eukaryota; Metazoa; Chordata; Mammalia; Perissodactyla; Equidae
Description: lncRNA (ENSECAG00000048605.1)
Source: RNAcentral
CGCUCAAAACUGGCCAAUUGGGAAAAGACGCUUGAACUUCCUGGCUUUCACGCCAGGAAGUGCCACCCAACUCCACCUACUUCCUGGCUCAGGGCUGCAGGCAGGGGGCACACAGGCCAGGACCAGGGACUCAACUGGGCCUGCUCAAAGGAAGUCGCUGCCCAGCUCCAUGCCCCUCCCCGCGCCUUAGGGUGUGUGGUGCUGAAACAAUUUAGACGGAGAGAGAAGGAUGAUGGCUGCUGGCUCAGUGCCUCAGAGAUCCGCAGGCUGCUCAGAAUUGUAGGACUUUCUUGGUCUCCUGACGUCCCUGCUCAAGGCUUCUCUUCCCCGAGGCUCAGAGCGGCUCCUGGCUCCCACGCAUGCCCGCUUCAUUCUUCCUAUGAAAUUCAAAGAAAAUCCAAACCUUUUUCUUGGAGUACUGGCCCCAACAGAAGCCAGAGGCCCAGGAAGCACAGGGGCCUGUCGAUGCCGCCCCUGCAGCCGCGCGCAGGGAGCACCCCAGGAGGAGAGACCUGGACUUCCUCAGAUGCCUGGGGGCCAGGUGGAGGCCGCUGCAGCUCCCAGGAGAGAGAGGUGAGGGGGGCAGUGGGACUGGGGGACCCUCUGAGAGACACAGAGAGGGCCCACCGAGUAGAACUCACGUGGUGCUGGAUCCAGCUGCCUGCUCCCCGCACCCCCAGCCCUACUCCUUGGAAGCUCCCACCACAGAGGCUCCCUGCGGCCGAUGGCGCGGAGGGGCACUGCUUCGUGCUAAUAUCGUUCAAAUCAGUCGCACCUUGGUUCUCAUCCAUGGAUCUCCCUGAGGGUCCCUGAAAGCCACUGGACGCUCUCUGAUGGGGACCCAGCUCCGGCUGGAGGGCACUGAGCCAACUGAGGCCUGGACAGAGAGGUUUCUGUCCAUCCCAUUGCUGUGUGCCCUCUGGAGAGCCUCUGCCCCUCUCUGAGGACCCCCGAGCAAGCCCUCCCGGGGUCCCCACUUGGAGCCAGGCCCGUGUUAAGUUUGGAGGAGGAGAGAGAACCAAGCAGCGUGGUCCCUGCCUGUGGGGACUAAAGCAGAGACUUCACAGUACUGGGGGCGGGGCUUAAUUUGACUGGAGACUUGGUGACACCUCAGUGCAAAAGCUUCCC